UGUGUGGGGUGGACGAUCGCGGCUGGUUAAUCCAGGUGAGGAAAGUCCGGGCUUCGCAGGGCAGGAUGCCGGAUAACGUCCGGUGGAGGUGACUCUAAGGAAAGUGCAACAGAAAAUAACCGCCACGAAAGUGGUAAGGGUGAAAAGGCGGUGUAAGAGACCACCGUGCCUCUGGUAACAGCAGGUAGCCAUGUAAACCCCAUCCGAAGCAAGACCAAAUAUGGAGACCAUAGGGCGGCCCGUCCUGUCUCCGGGUAGGUCGCUUGAGGCGGCUGGUAACAGUCGUCCUAGACAGAUGAUCGUCUUAAAUGACAUAACCCGGCUUAUAGCCCCACACAUUUA
Molecule: RNase P RNA, 342 nt
Filed under: Lacrimispora saccharolytica
Lineage: Bacteria; Bacillati; Bacillota; Clostridia; Lachnospirales; Lachnospiraceae
Also listed under: 1 other name
Description: RNase P RNA component class A
Rfam family: Bacterial RNase P class A
About the family: Ribonuclease P (RNase P) is a ubiquitous endoribonuclease, found in archaea, bacteria and eukarya as well as chloroplasts and mitochondria. Its best characterised activity is the generation of mature 5'-ends of tRNAs by cleaving the 5'-leader elements of precursor-tRNAs.
Source: RNAcentral